Molecule: long non-coding RNA, 710 nt
Organism: Bombus terrestris (buff-tailed bumblebee)
Lineage: Eukaryota; Metazoa; Arthropoda; Insecta; Hymenoptera; Apidae
Exons: 2
Source: RefSeq, a predicted model, not a curated record
CAGAUAAUACGGAAAUAGAGUACAAGGAAGUUGGAAAAAAUUUAGUAACUAGUUCUAGAAAGUGUAUAGUUACACACACAAGUAUAUGUGAAGUUUAUAUCCAUGCAUGGUUGUGGUUUGCUUUGUUUUAGGAUUCCUUAAUUUCUGUGACAAUUGUAUAACCUUUAUAGAUUAUGUGUUCACUUUAUGAUCGUGUCACUUUGACAUAUGUAUGAAAAUUAAGCUGAUAUUACAGAUAAUGAACAUUAUAUUACAUUAUAUUACAUACAAUUUAAAUACAAUGCGUAUUCACUUUGUACAGUAACAGAUAUAUCUAAUAUUAUUAUUUAUAGAAUAUAUAUGUAUGUAUGUACGUACAUACAUAUUGUACAUAUGUCAACGUUAAAAGACGUCAAUUUCAAUGAAUCAUAAUGCUGCAUCAUCACAAUGACAUAAUAACAAUGAAUUUGAUAGAAAAAUCCUCACAUUUGGCUUCUGAGAAUACACGUAAAUGAUAAUAAUAAAGAUAAUAAAAAAGAAUAUGGAAUAGUUUACGGUACUUUAUAAGCUUUUAGAUUUCCUGUACUAAGUAUUAUUUUAUUUAAGAGAGAUAUAUGUAUAUCAUAAACCAUGUAUAAACAUAUGAAAAGAGAAUGUAGAAUGUUAGAACUGUAGAAUGUUAAAAACUUGUUCAUCGAUAUCAAUAAAGCUGAACAUAUUUAUUCUUUUAA